GCGGGUGUAGCUCAAUUGGUAGAGCGUCAGCCUUCCAAGCUGAAUGUUGCCGGUUCGACCCCGGUCACCCGCU
This 73-nucleotide transfer RNA is filed under the name Phycisphaerae bacterium. Its description in RNAcentral is "tRNA-Gly". It matches the Rfam family "tRNA". From Rfam's summary of the family: Transfer RNA (tRNA) molecules are approximately 80 nucleotides in length. Their secondary structure includes four short double-helical elements and three loops (D, anti-codon, and T loops). The record is from RNAcentral. Lineage: Bacteria; Pseudomonadati; Planctomycetota; Phycisphaerae. RNAcentral also lists the same sequence under 2 other names.